Molecule: ribosomal RNA, 433 nt
Filed under: uncultured bacterium
Lineage: Bacteria
Description: partial 16S ribosomal RNA
Rfam family: Bacterial small subunit ribosomal RNA
Source: RNAcentral
AACGAACGCUGGCGGCAUGCCUAACACAUGCAAGUCGAACGAGACCUUCGGGUCUAGUGGCGCACGGGUGCGUAACGCGUGGGAACCUGCCCUUAGGUUCGGAAUAACUCCCCGAAAGGGGUGCUAAUACCGGAUAAUGUCUUCGGACCAAAGAUUUAUCGCCUUUGGAUGGGCCCGCGUUGGAUUAGCUAGUUGGUAGGGUAAAAGCCUACCAAGGCGACGAUCCAUAGCUGGUCUGAGAGGAUGAUCAGCCACACUGGGACUGAGACACGGCCCAGACUCCUGCGGGAGGCAGCAGUGGGGAAUAUUGGAAAAUGGGCGAAGGCCUGAUGGAGCAAUGCCGGGUGAGUGAUGAAGGCCUUAGGGUAGUAAAGCUCUUUUACCCGGGAUGAUAAUGACAGUACCGGGAGAAUAAGCGCCGGCUAACUCCGUG